Molecule: long non-coding RNA, 1109 nt
Filed under: Brassica napus (rape)
Lineage: Eukaryota; Viridiplantae; Streptophyta; Magnoliopsida; Brassicales; Brassicaceae
Description: long non-coding RNA (BNAP_LNC009890)
Source: RNAcentral
ACGUCCGAUAUACAAUAUUCAUGUUGUUAAUGUGGACACAUGAACAAGCUUAACGUUGAGUACCCUUAGAAGUUAUAUUCACAAAUAAUAUAUAAUAUAUUGUUAAAUAAACUUAAAUGUGAAACACUCACAUCAAAUAUAUAUAUUCAUGGGAUUCUUAAAAGAGAAAAAGACAAAAAUAGCACUAAAUCAAGUUUUUGUUCACAAACUAGCACUCAAAGUCAAAAGUCACAAAAAUAGCACUUAAUGUUUUAUCAAAAGUCACAAACUUAGGGUUUAGAGUUAAAGGGUGGGGUUUAGAAUUUAGGGUUUAGGGUUUAGGGUUUAGGGUUUAGAGUUUAGGGUUUAGGGUUUAGGGUUUAGGGUUUAGAAUUUAGGGUUUAGGGUUUAGAUUUUAGGGUUUAGGGUUUAGAGUUUAGGGUUUAGGGUUUAGAGUUUAGGGUUUAGGGUUUAGAGUUUAUGGUUUAGGGUUUAGAGUUUAUGGUUUAGGGUUUAGAGUUGAGAAAUGAGGUUUUGGGGAUAAGAUAUAAACUUAGAAAGGUGCUAUUUUGGUCAUUUUUGUUUUUGAGUGCUAUUUUUGUGAUAUAAACUAAGAAAUGCGCUAUUUUGGACAUUUGCCCUUCUUAAAACUUACAAUCGAGUUUAGCUGUAUUAGUCGGCAGUCGGCAUAUAGGUUUUGUGUUACAAUUUUCGUAUGAUUGUUAAAUGCAAGCUCAACUAACAUUACAUUACUCAAAUAUUAUAAACUAAUCGAUUAGGGCUGGGCAUUUUAUCUGAUACCCGAAAAAUCCGAACCUGAAUCCGAACCAAAGUAAUAAAAUAUCCAAACAUGUUUUGUAUUGAACAAGUUUGGAUACGCGAACCUGAUCGAGUAUAUCUGAAAUCCGAAGUAAUAUCCGAAGUCAUCUGAACAUAUUUAUAUUUUAACCCAAAUCUACAUCUUUCAUCUAAUAUGUAAUGACUGGUUCUCUUAACCGAUUUUGGUUUAAUUAAUAUUAUAUAAAAUCAAUACUGAAUCACUAUUUUUCCCUAACCUAAACGUGUGCACAUAUAUAUAAAUGUAUCUCCUUAUUACACGUGAGAGAUUAAGGGACCAUCUGCAUCUCCCA